AACGAACGCUGGCGGCAUGCCUAACACAUGCAAGUCGAACGAGACCUUCGGGUCUAGUGGCGCACGGGUGCGUAACGCGUGGGAAUCUGCCCUUGGGUUCGGAAUAACAGUUGGAAACGACUGCUAAUACCGGAUGAUGACGUAAGUCCAAAGAUUUAUCGCCCAGAGAUGAGCCCGCGUAGGAUUAGCUAGUUGGUGGGGUAAAGGCCUACCAAGGCGACGAUCCUUAGCUGGUCUGAGAGGAUGAUCAGCCACACUGGGACUGAGACACGGCCCAGACUCCUACGGGAGGCAGCAGUGGGGAAUAUUGGACAAUGGGCGAAAGCCUGAUCCAGCAAUGCCGCGUGAGUGAUGAAGGCCUUAGGGUUGUAAAGCUCUUUUACCCGGGAUGAUAAUGACAGUACCGGGAGAAUAAGCCCCGGCUAACUCCGUG
This 433-nucleotide ribosomal RNA is filed under the name uncultured bacterium. Its description in RNAcentral is "partial 16S ribosomal RNA". It matches the Rfam family "Bacterial small subunit ribosomal RNA", at positions 29 to 507 of the family's 1533-position model. The record is from RNAcentral.